UACGUAGGGUGCAAGCGUUGUCCGGAAUUAUUGGGCGUAAAGAGCUCGUAGGCGGUUUGUCGCGUCUGCUGUGAAAUCCCGAGGCUCAACCUCGGGCCUGCAGUGGGUACGGGCAGACUAGAGUGCGGUAGGGGAGAUUGGAAUUCCUGGUGUAGCGGUGGAAUGCGCAGAUAUCAGGAGGAACACCGAUGGCGAAGGCAGAUCUCUGGGCCGUAACUGACGCUGAGGAGCGAAAGCGUGGGGAGCGAACAGGAUUAGAU
RNAcentral lists this ribosomal RNA (260 nucleotides) under uncultured bacterium. RNAcentral's name for it is "partial 16S ribosomal RNA". It matches the Rfam family "Bacterial small subunit ribosomal RNA", at positions 524 to 783 of the family's 1533-position model. The record is from RNAcentral.